This 333-nucleotide unclassified non-coding RNA is filed under the name soil metagenome. RNAcentral describes it as "partial contains 5.8S ribosomal RNA, internal transcribed spacer 2, and large subunit ribosomal RNA". The stretch from base 1 to 120 matches the Rfam family "5.8S ribosomal RNA", at positions 35 to 154 of the family's 154-position model. The record is from RNAcentral.
GAUGAAGAACGCAGCGAAAUGCGAUAAGUAAUGUGAAUUGCAGAAUUCAGUGAAUCAUCGAAUCUUUGAACGCACAUUGCGCCCGCCAGUAUUCUGGCGGGCAUGCCUGUUCGAGCGUCAUUUCAACCAUCAAGCCCUGCUUGCGUUGGGGUCCUGCGGCUGCCCGCAGGCCCUGAAAACCAGUGGCGGGCUCGCUAGUCACACCGAGCGCAGUAAUACAUCUCGCUUUGGGCGUGCGGCGGGUUCUUGCCGAUAAACACCCCCUUUUUACCAAGGUUGACCUCGGAUCAGGUAGGAAUACCCGCUGAACUUAAGCAUAUCAUAAGCGGAGGA